AGUUUUAUCUGUGGGUAAUGGUUUCUGUGUUCUUGAGUACUCUUUGUAUUUUUUAGCCCAAUCUAGGCAGGAAAUCCUCAAAAGGGACUAAAUGCAUUAGCAUGAGAAUCAAAUCUAUUCUCAGCUGAAAGAAUAUCUCCUGUUUGCAUGGACUGUCACAUGUUGCCAAGGGUUACAGUCUACAGCAACAAAUGAAAGGAGGGAAGCCUGCUUUUGAGCACGUACAAUAUCCCUUUUCAGUUUUUUUUUUAUUAAGUUAUGCCUCGUUAACAAUGUUCUUUGAGCAAAUGCUUCGGCUCAAUAUGUGUAUGUGAAUGGAAUUCUCCGUGCUGUUGGGAGAUCUCUUGUGUGGCUCAGAGUUCUGGGUGAAUAAGGGCUCCCGCCCGGGAGGAUAAUCCUAGUUGCUUCAGAAAACUCUGCGGGCCCUCUGGACCCACGUGGCCUUCUUCACUGUUGCCUGCCCUGGAGCCAAGAGCAUGGGAGAGUCAAGCCAAUUGCCCCGGUGGGAUGAGGCUGUCAGAGGAGGCUGCUGUGGACACCUUGAGAGGCUGGACAGCCUGCACUAGGAUCCUGGGACUUAGGUAAAGGCUAUGCUUGCUAAAGAUCCUCUGGAACUACCUCCACCUGCCAUGAGACUAACUCUCUGUCCUAAAAAAUAGAGUGCAAAGAAAGUGCUCUAAAGGAUAUAACUGCAUGUAUACUUAAGGGUAUAAGAUAGAUAACCAUAUUACUGAAUUUUUGUUGGAUCAUUGAACAGAACUGUUUGCAGUCUCACUGUUUGAAUGCCCACUUUGUAUGCUUUAAUUUUGUAACUUAAACAACUAUUUCUAAGAUGACAAUAUGUAGUCUAUUAACAGUGAUUUCUUACUGCUUAUUUUUUUUGAAAUUUUGUAUUACUUGUACCCUUUUUCUGUUUUUUUUUUCUUUUUCUCUUUAAAUAAAAUUUAAAAAUAUAUAUAAUGCAAAAAGGGACACAAGUCCCAGGAAGUGGACAGUAUUUACCUUUUAGCAAUGAGUGAGAGAUCAGGGACGUGGUCUUUGGGCUAUAGAAUGUCAAACCUCCCUCCCCUACCAUCCCAGGCUUGGAGAGGACCACACUGGACUGGAGAGCAGAAGUCCUCCCUGCUGGCCUGCGCUUUCCGCUCCACUAAACUCUGCCUGCCUGCCAGUAACCGGCUGUGUCAGGACCUUGCCAUUUGUACUCUACAGAGAUCUGGGCACAGCACCUAGGAUGUUCAGAGGCAUGUGGUCUAAAACCCUAAAACUCAGGCAGAUUGCAAAGGCCACAUCUCUAUUUCUAGGUUGUUUUUAACUUACGCUUUUGAGAAGGGAAUGAAAGAAUCCUAUUUUUAUAUCAUGAUAACAAAAUGAGCUAAUAUUUUGGGUGUUUUUUGGAGGUAAUUUUUCUAAAGUGCUCUUAGUACUUUUUAGGAGAUUAAGUAGAUGCACGGUUAUUAUCCGCAAUGUGGAGAAUCAUCUGCAAAACGUGAGCCUCUUCUCUUUAGGACUGAGGAGCGAAUUUCCCUUUAUAGAUCCCUCAGGAAACAUGCAGUCUAGGCCAAAUCAAUAUAUUUAUGAGAAUCUGUUCAGUGCCUUUGUCAUCUAGAUAGUAGCAGGAAAACAAAGGGGCAGAGAAAGUUUCUACACUCCCUAAAACAGGUUCAUCCUUAGGGACUUGGCUAUAGUAGUGUCAAUAUUUCUACUGCACUUGGUAUUCAACUCAGAAUAAAGGAACGUCCAUGCAACAGUAGCUGAAACAGUUUUGAUUUUCUUUGUGUGAAAAGAAACCUGCAGGUGGAUUGCUGCAGACCUCAAUCCAUUGGCACGGCUUUGGUUUUUCUCUUGAGGUCACAGAAUGAAGGCUGCAGCUCCACAUGGCCAUUGAGUUCAAGGCAGAAAUCAGGGGGAAGGUAAAAGGCUAGCUGUGUCAGAAAAAGAAACACUUUUAUCAGAAACCUCAGAGACUUAUAGUUAAGUUUAUGAAGCGUUGUUACAUUUAAUUGCAAAGAAAGCUAGGACUAUGAAAACUUGUCUGGAGAAAUGAAAAGAAGGUUAACCACGGUCACAGAACCUGCUCCUGGUCUAUUUCUUCUUCAGGUUCAGCUAGCACCUCCCUGCACCAAUGCUGUCAAUGUAGUGCAGAUGCUGGUGACAGCAUCCUCAACCCAUGGUGCUGGAUGUAGCACCACAGGGCUCAGGGUAAAGGGGGUCCUGGGAAGGGGUCUCAGAGCUGUGCCCUGUGUGCUGUGUUGCUGCGCGCCCAGCAUGGAGCCUGGUGCACCAGAGGAUGCAUUCCCACUGCAGGGCAAGGCUGCACCAGGCAUGGUCACUUGGGUGGGAACACAGUGAACCUUGGGAUGUGGUUAUCUUCGUAGCAGUUUCUUGGAAGCUGAGUUGGAGAAUAUGGGCAGAAUCACAUUGAGCAAAUGUCACAAGAAAAGUAAACCAGAUGGAGGUAAAAGAUGCUGAGGGCAGAGAGGCUGCUUCUGACAGGUGGGGUCAGGGAAAGCCCUGGAGGAGGUGACAUGAGCUACAGUUGGGUGACAUGAGCACCAAAUGGUUGCUAUUUUGGGGUUCAUCAUCUGCAGUUCUGUGCUCAUCACUUCUAAGUCUCUGUCUCCUUUCAGGUUUGCCUAGGGAAAGAGUUCUAUUUCCACAGUGCUGUCACUUAGAAAAGAUGUCUUUCAUUGGAACACACUUCUGUGUUCAUAAUUAAACUAUGAUAGAAUUCUCCCUACAACAAAUUUCAUUACCAUAUAAUUUAUACAGAGGGAAAUGAGCCUUUCUGAUACACAACUCCACAGAUUUGAUAUGUGUAACCAUUGCCACACUCAAAACAUAGAAUAGUUCUGUCAUUCAAGAUGAAUGCCUUGUGGUCUUUUGUGACUAUCAUACAUCCCCACCCCAACCUAUAGCAGCCAUUGUGAUUUCUGUUGUUAGAAUUUUACUUUUUUAAUAAUAUCAUGUAGGGACUUGGGAUUUAGCUCAGCAGCCAUAAGCUCCUGCCUUACAAGCGUGAGGUUGUGAGUUCAAUCCCCAGUACAAAAAAAAAAAAAUCAGAAUCACAAGAAUAUCAUGUAAAUGAAAUCAUUCUAAUAAGUAGCAUGCUCAGGUUGGCUCCACUUCAUGUGUUUGGCUUUCAUGAUGUGCAUAUCUUUCAUGAUGUAUGUAUCGUGAUGCUGCAUGCAAGCUUAUUCGUUUUUCAUUGCUGAGCAGUAUCCCAUCAUAUGAGUGACCCACAGUUUGUCUAUCCAUUUCCCAGACCAGAGAUGUCUUGCUUUUUCUUCCCAGUUUUUAACUAUUUCAAAUGAAGUCAUUAUAUAUAUACUGGCACAAAAGACAUUUGUGCAGACAACAUGUUUCAUUUUCCUUGGGCAGGCAAAUACCUAGAGAUAGGAUUUUUAGAUAAAUACAUGUGCAACUUUAUAAGAAAAUGUCAAGACAUUUUCCAUAAUAUCUUAACCACCUUGCAUUUACAUCUAUGUUGGUCACUCCACAUCUUACCAGUCUUUGGCACUGUUGGUGCAUUUCAAUGAGAGUGAUUCUGCUAAAUAGGGAAUGUGUUGCACAGUGGUUUCUUUUUCAUCUUUCUAAUGUCUAAUAAUAUCAAGGGUCUUUUCAUGUGUUUGUUUGCUACCUGUGAAUCUCCUGUCUUUGUAGAUCUGUUCAAAUCCUUGCACUUCUUCUUAAUGGAGUUGUUUUCUUUUUACUGAACUUUAAGUAUUUUCUCUAUUUUCAGCUACAAGUCCUUUCUUACAUACAUGAUUUCUAAAUAUUUUCCCAUAGUACAAGACUUAUCUUUGUAUUCUUUUCAUAGCAUCUUUCAAAAAAAAGUAAUCCUUAAUUUUAAUGAAUCUAAUUAGUUUAUUAAAAUUUUCUCCUCUGGGUGUAAGAAAUCUUUACCUAACCCAAGGUCACAGAGGGGUUUUGCUAUAUGUUUUCUAAUAUUUCAUACUAGGCUUUAUACUUAGAUUUACAGUCCCUUUGGAACUGACAUGUAUGGGCUAUGACUGGAAGUGGCUUCGCUUCUUACAGCUGACUACCUGUUCCAACAACAUUUUCUCCUUUUCUCCAUUGAAUUAAUUUUGACCUUUGUCAAGAACCUAUCACUAUAGUAGGCCUAUUUGUAGAAUCUCUCUUUUUUUAUUAAUCUGGAUGCUCCCUUUAAUAUCACAUCAUGUAACUUGAGGUCUGUUAACCAGAUAGUAUAACUUCUCUCACUUUCUUCUUUUGCAGAAUUAUUGUGGCAUUUAAUUUCCUUUUUCCCCCAUGUAACUUUAGAAUCUGUUUGUCAAUAUGAAUCUUUGCCUCAUUUCUUCCUCUGCUUCCUCCAACCUCCUACGAUCCCCAGACAGGCACUUGAUCCUACCAAGGGAGUUCCUGUGAUUAGACCUGAGGAAUCUCUCUAAGAUAAUAAUUUUGAAUGCUUAACAUUUUUCUGCUAGUAGAAUGUCAAAUAUUUCUUCUUUCUUCAAGGAAGAGCAUUCUUAAUAUUUAGUUCAAUUGUUCACUUGUUUUCUUUUUAAACUCUGUAGCUCAUCCUCCUAAAUACCCACCUACUUGUCUUCUUUGUAGGCCAUUUAGGUUUCUGUGAAGAAAUCCUUCCUUUCCAUUCAUUCCUUCCUCCCCUGAGCCCCAACUUUUCUUCAUUUCUCUAAUUGACAGUCUUUUGCUCUCAUAUUGAUACCCUAAGCGUCUGACAUGUCUGUUUCCACAGUAGAUAGAGUCACAUACGGGCAGCAUACGUAUUCCAUCCCUGUCUGCACCCCCAGUUUUUCUCAACAUAGCAGGGUGAGGGGGUACUAAUCACAACCAGAAGCAGUGGCUUAAAAAAUUGUGUUCUGAUCCUGAUCACUAUGCCUUGACUUAUCUUUAAAUAUUUUUAUUUUAAAAUACGAAUUGCAUGAAAGUGAGAAAUAUUUUUGUUUUUCUACAGUUGUUAGGCUGUGAUCUUUUAAUAACAUUUAUUUAAUUACUGCAUCAGUUUACCAGUCCUUUAUGAUAUAAUUCAUCCUCUUUGGAUCCCUAGUGUUAUGCAAGCCAGAGAGCAGAGGACGCCUUACAGGCCCAAACACUUGCAUGAGUAUCUGGAGUAGUUAGCAGCACCCUUCCGUGACUGCCUGGCUGAGAGCUGCAGGGACAGGCUGACCCUCCCUCCACAGGCGGCCUCUGUACUAUACUCCCUCAGAAGCUCAAAGGAACCAUGAUUUACACUCAGGCCCCAGGGCACACAUCUGGGAAGCAGUGCUGGAAGGCGCCAAUCUACAAAUAGGCCUACUGUAGACACUGUACCUACCUCAACACCCACGAGGGUGCAGAAUGGUAACAGGGCCUGCCCUGUGGACCCAGGCAGCGUGGAAAGACAAAUACAAAGGAUUGGAUGUGUCCACUGUCAUCCUGAAGUCAGCAGUAGUCAACAUGACCAGCAGGGUGUUGGGAAUCUUUUCAAAUCAAGACACUGAAAAUUCAAACUGAAUGCCUGGUGAAGAAGGAUUAAGACAUCAUCCACCAGGCUCCAUUUCCAUAAACUUAUUGAGACCUUAAAAAUAAACUUGCUAUACAGGUUAUUUCUUCAGAUGUUCUUUCAUUCAGAAAGCAUUUCGGGAUCAGUGUGGUUACCCACUGGGCACUACAAUGGGGGAAGCAGUUCCCAGGUGGCCCUAACACGGGUCCCCAUUUAUGUGUGCACACAGAGGGAUGCCAGGGGCUUGGGGAGCAUGGAGAGAGAGAUGGUGCUGGAUACUGGGUCUCUUGAAAGCUGUCACAGAGGGUCCCAGAGUGUUAGAAAGCAAAGGUGUGAGGCAGGGCCCAUCUAGCAAAAGAUUCAUUUCCCUGGGCAACGGUGAGACAUCUGAUGUGAGUCGGCACAGGAGGGAGAGGAAGAGCCGGCGAGGGGCUGGAGUCAGAUGCGGAAGGCCACUGGGCAGGAAGAAGAAUGGGUGUGUUUUCAUCCUGCAGAGGAUGAAGGUCAGACACAGCUCUGAAGCAGGACAAUAUGUUGCCCAUUCUGGGCACAGCUCGCAAGUCCAUCAAGAGACUCACACUUGCCAGUGGCUUCAUGUCAAAGUCAUGAGUCAUUUCAGCCUACGGCCAAUGAGAGGAGGUGUGUAGUCUUCCCCUGGGGAACAUUGCUUGCUCCUAAAGACCCGGAUAUGAGCUGACCUGUUUUCACAUGCCAUGAUAGACAAAUAAACCUUGGUAUAUUAAA
Long non-coding RNA from Cavia porcellus (domestic guinea pig), 6208 nucleotides. RefSeq lists it as uncharacterized. The transcript is spliced from 2 exons. NCBI's taxonomy places the organism in Eukaryota, Metazoa, Chordata, Mammalia, Rodentia, Caviidae. The record is from RefSeq and is a predicted model, not a curated record.